RNAcentral lists this ribosomal RNA (468 nucleotides) under uncultured bacterium. RNAcentral's name for it is "partial 16S ribosomal RNA". It matches the Rfam family "Bacterial small subunit ribosomal RNA", at positions 28 to 507 of the family's 1533-position model. The record is from RNAcentral.
GACGAACGCUGGCGGCGUGCUUAACACAUGCAAGUCGAACGGAAAGGCCCUGCUUUUGUGGGGUGCUCGAGUGGCGAACGGGUGAGUAACACGUGAGUAACCUGCCCUUGACUUUGGGAUAACUUCAGGAAACUGGGGCUAAUACCGGAUAGGAGCUCCUGCUGCAUGGUGGGGGUUGGAAAGUUACGGCGGUUGGGGAUGGACUCGCGGCUUAUCAGCUUGUUGGUGGGGUAGUGGCUUACCAAGGCUUUGACGGGUAGCCGGCCUGAGAGGGUGACCGGCCACAUUGGGACUGAGAUACGGCCCAGACUCCUACGGGAGGCAGCAGUGGGGAAUAUUGCACAAUGGGCGGAAGCCUGAUGCAGCAACGCCGCGUGCGGGAUGGCGGCCUUCGGGUUGUAAACCGCUUUCGCCUGUGACGAAGCGUGAGUGACGGUAAUGGGUAAAGAAGCACCGGCUAACUACGUG